This 684-nucleotide ribosomal RNA is filed under the name uncultured archaeon. Its description in RNAcentral is "bacterial SSU rRNA". It matches the Rfam family "Archaeal small subunit ribosomal RNA", at positions 84 to 773 of the family's 1478-position model. The record is from RNAcentral.
UACGGCUCAGUAACACGUCGUUAACUUGACCUACGGUUGAGGAUAGCCUUGGGAAACUGAGGGUAAUACUCAAUAGAUGUUUUAUGCUGGAAUGCUUAAACAUUCAAAUUCGCGCCGUAGGAUAGGACGGCGGUGGAUUAGGUAGUUGGUGAGGUAACGGCUCACCAAGCCGACGAUCCAUAGGGGCGAUGAGAGUCGGAGCCCCGAGAGGGACACUGAGAUACUGGUCCCAGCCCUACGGGGUGCAGCAGGCGCGGAAACUCUGCAAUGCACGAAAGUGUGACAGGGGGAUCCUAAGUGCUUACGUUCUGCGUAGGCUUUUGUCAAGAGCAAAUAUCUUGGCGAAUAAGUGGUGGGUAAGACUGGUGCCAGCAGCCGCGGUAAUCCCAGCGCCACAAGUGGCAUUCAUAAUUAUUUGGUCUAAAGCGUUCGUAGCUGGAUGUAUACAUCUUUUGUGAAAUCGGACUACUCAAUAGUUCGGAUGGCAGGAGACACGGUAUGUCUAGGGAUCGGGAGGAGUUAGGGGUAUGCCUUAGGGAGUGGUAAAAUAUGAUAAUCUAAGGUAGACCACCUGUGGUGAAGACGCCUAACUAGAACGAAUCCGACGGUGAGGAACGAAGGCCAGGGGAGCGAACCGGAUUAGAUACCCGAGUAGUCCUGGCAGUAAACGCUGUAUGCUAGGUG